AACGACUCUCGGCAACGGAUAUCUCGGCUCUCGCAUCGAUGAAGAACGUAGCGAAAUGCGAUACUUGGUGUGAAUUGCAGAAUCCCGUGAACCAUCGAGUCUUUGAACGCAAGUUGCGCCCGAAGCCUUCGGGCCGAGGGCACGCCUGCCUGGGCGUCACGCAUCGCGUCGCCCCCCAU
RNAcentral lists this ribosomal RNA (179 nucleotides) under Ruellia blechum. RNAcentral describes it as "5.8S ribosomal RNA". The stretch from base 4 to 159 matches the Rfam family "5.8S ribosomal RNA". From Rfam's summary of the family: 5.8S ribosomal RNA (5.8S rRNA) is a component of the large subunit of the eukaryotic ribosome. It is transcribed by RNA polymerase I as part of the 45S precursor that also contains 18S and 28S rRNA. Functionally, it is thought that 5.8S rRNA may be involved in ribosome translocation. Lineage: Eukaryota; Viridiplantae; Streptophyta; Magnoliopsida; Lamiales; Acanthaceae. The record is from RNAcentral.